UUUAAGAAUGAUUUUUCAGCACUGAUUUUUGAACUCGUCAAAGACAUUGCUAAUACAAACCUAUGUUAUUAGAUCAUAUUAGUUUCAAAAAGUUCUGGCUGGAAUUAUACACACGAAAGCGCUAACAAUGCAAUUUUGCAUAUAGUUAAAUUACCAAAGUGCAAAGUAUUGCAAAAAGUGGUGAACUUCAGCUAAAUUUUAAACUUUUUAAAUAUUUACACAUACAUUUUGUAUCUAUCUAUGUUCAGUAAAUUUGUACAAUAAGAGUUUUGCAUAACCACGCAGUCUAUUAGAGAUAUCUUUAAAACCCUGACUGAUUAGUUUACAAAAUCAUUGAAAUAAUCGAGAACUUCCUUUAACAAAUUUUUGUGCUAUUUUCACAUUUCCUGACCGGUGUGAGAAAAAUAUUUCUCCUCACUAGUGAAAAAUUUGUUCUCGACAAAUGAUUAGUCGAAAUUUAACUGACUUCUAAAUGUUUUGUUUUCUUCUGAAUUUUCCUAUUGUGACGUCAUGAAAAAAGGCGACAAUGCCUGAUGACGUAUAUAAAGAAGUUUCUGAAAAUCUUUGAAAAAGAAGGAUAAAAUUCAUUAGAGAAACAGAUUUCGACACUAUAACUCGUGUAUUACGAUAUUUCUCCACUCUCGACAGUUAAAUUUUAGUUAUAAAGAGAUCGGUCGCGCUUUAAUAAUAAAAUUUAACUGUCUCGAGUGGAGAAAUAUCAUAAUACACUUGUUGCAGUGUAGGAAUCUGUAUUUAACAAAUUUUCUGGUUUAAUGUAACGAAUUUAGCUUUAAAAACUGUUAAAUCUUACUAUCUUUUACUUGCUAUCCUAAUAUUCGGUUUCAUACUGUUAUAGCUUUCCUAUAUCAAAAAUGAUUAAAUAAGAUUUGCAGAGGCGGAUUUAGGCCCCCCCCCCUUUUUGGGAAAAAAUGUGAUUGCUUAUAUAGGAAAUCACUGAAGCGUGACUGGAGCGGGCCCCCUCUUAGGUCAGUCAGUGGGCCCCCACUUAUGAAUAUUUCUGGAUCCGCCACUGAUUUGUUCCUUUCUUGCUAACUGGACAUAUAAAGUGAUCUAUCCAUAAAUACAUUUCAUAGAUUAAAAUACUUGGUAUCGGGCGGGCAUUUUAACAGGUCAUAAUUCAGACAAAAAUACAUUAAUUUUCCUCUUUUCGUUAAUAUAUACAUUGCAUUAAACAAAAGCCUUGUUUUUACAAGACUCCUGAUUUUUGGAACACUCCUUGUUGAAAAAUUACAUAUUAGUACCUUAUAUUUAGAAUAUUGUAGCAAUAAGAUUUAGGCAUUGUUAUGUAUCACUAAUUG
Molecule: long non-coding RNA, 1319 nt
Filed under: Mytilus galloprovincialis (Mediterranean mussel)
Lineage: Eukaryota; Metazoa; Mollusca; Bivalvia; Mytilida; Mytilidae
Source: RNAcentral